Molecule: non-coding RNA, 161 nt
Organism: Podarcis lilfordi (Lilford's wall lizard)
Lineage: Eukaryota; Metazoa; Chordata; Lepidosauria; Squamata; Lacertidae
Source: the annotation of a GenBank genome assembly
CCGUAACAGCACUAAAUCACUCAGUUUGUGCAAUGAAGAAGAACACAACUCGCUGCAGCAAACAAUGUGCAGUGCAAGAUGCAUUGAUGCAUUGACCACUGACACGUCAAACACAUUUGUAGCCCUGGGCUCCUCCUGGGGCUGCACCUGCCUGAGCAUCA